GGCAAGAUGGCCGAGCGGUCCAAGGCGCUAGGUUCAGGUUUACCUGACCAUCACAGUUCUCUCCAGAACUUCCUAGUCACGCAAGUGGCGUGGGUUCGAAUCCCACUCUUGUCA
This is a non-coding RNA of Aspergillus campestris IBT 28561, 114 nucleotides long. The record is from the annotation of a RefSeq genome assembly. NCBI's taxonomy places the organism in Eukaryota, Fungi, Ascomycota, Eurotiomycetes, Eurotiales, Aspergillaceae.